GUUAUUUUGGCAGAUUAGUGCAAUUGAUUUAGAAUCAUUAAAUGUAGUUUAGGCUAUAAAUAAUA
RNAcentral lists this transfer RNA (65 nucleotides) under Anoplophora horsfieldii. RNAcentral describes it as "Anoplophora horsfieldi tRNA-Leu". It matches the Rfam family "tRNA". Rfam says of the family: Transfer RNA (tRNA) molecules are approximately 80 nucleotides in length. Their secondary structure includes four short double-helical elements and three loops (D, anti-codon, and T loops). The record is from RNAcentral. Lineage: Eukaryota; Metazoa; Arthropoda; Insecta; Coleoptera; Cerambycidae.